CUGUACAGUUCAGAGUUUGAUCCUGGCUCAGGACGAACGCUGGCGGCGUGCCUAAUACAUGCAAGUCGUACGCACCGAAGAGAGAACUUGUUCUUUCGGACGUGAGUGGCGCACGGGUGAGUAACACGUGGGAAACCUACCCUUCAGCGGGGGAUAACCGUCGGAAACGAUGGCUAAUACCGCAUAGUUCUUUUGGUCACCUGACCGAAAGAGGAAAGACGGCUUCGGCUGUCACUGAAGGAUGGUCCCGCGGUGCAUUAGCUAGUUGGUAAGGUAAUGGCUUACCAAGGCAAUGAUGCAUAGCCGACCUGAGAGGGUGAUCGGCCACAUUGGGACUGAGACACGGCCCAA
This 351-nucleotide ribosomal RNA is filed under the name uncultured bacterium. RNAcentral's name for it is "bacterial SSU rRNA". It matches the Rfam family "Bacterial small subunit ribosomal RNA", at positions 1 to 334 of the family's 1533-position model. The record is from RNAcentral.